This 379-nucleotide ribosomal RNA is filed under the name Almeida pilosa. Its description in RNAcentral is "eukaryotic LSU rRNA". It matches the Rfam family "Eukaryotic large subunit ribosomal RNA", at positions 763 to 1138 of the family's 3401-position model. The record is from RNAcentral. Lineage: Eukaryota; Metazoa; Arthropoda; Insecta; Hemiptera; Anthocoridae.
GGGCGUCUCUAUCUUUACGAUGGAGGCGCACCUAUAGCGCACACGCUGAUACCCGAAAGAUGGUGAACUAUGCCUGGCCAGGACGAAGCCAGGGGAAACCCUGGUGGAGGUCCGCAGCGAUUCUGACGUGCAAAUCGAUCGUCGGAGCUGGGUAUAGGGGCGAAAGACCAAUCGAACCAUCUAGUAGCUGGUUCCCUCUGAAGUUUCCCUCAGGAUAGCUUGCGCUCGGAGAGACGAGUCUCAUCCGGUAGAGCGAAUGAUUAGAGGCCUUGGGGUCGAAACGACCUCAACCUAUUCUCAAACUCCAAAUAGAUGAGAUCCCGGGCUUGCUUAAAAGUGAAGCCGGGACUCGGAUCAGAGUGCCAAGUGGGCCAAUUUU